UUUUGGACAAUGGGGGCAACCCUGAUCCAGCCAUGCCGCGUGAGUGAAGAAGGCCUUCGGGUUGUAAAGCUCUUUCGGACGGAACGAAAUGGGCGGGACUAAUACUCCUGUCUGAUGACGGUACCGUAAGAAGAAGCUCCGGCUAACUCCGUGCCAGCAGCCGCGGUAAUACGGAGGGAGCUAGCGUUGUUCGGAAUUACUGGGCGUAAAGCGUACGUAGGCGGUAUUCAAGUCAGAGGUAAAGCCCGGGGCUCAACCCCGAACUGCCUUUAAACAGGAGCAGAUCUUGAGGGUCAGUGAAUUCCAGUGAAGGUAAAUUCGAGUUUCGAAGACACCAGUGCAAGCACUGCUGGCAAGUUUGCGUGCAUCAAA
RNAcentral lists this ribosomal RNA (372 nucleotides) under uncultured bacterium. RNAcentral's name for it is "bacterial SSU rRNA". It matches the Rfam family "Bacterial small subunit ribosomal RNA", at positions 362 to 738 of the family's 1533-position model. The record is from RNAcentral.